This is a long non-coding RNA of Cyprinus carpio (common carp), 824 nucleotides long. RefSeq lists it as uncharacterized. Lineage: Eukaryota; Metazoa; Chordata; Actinopteri; Cypriniformes; Cyprinidae. The record is from RefSeq and is a predicted model, not a curated record. The transcript is spliced from 4 exons.
GAGGCUGCAGACCUGGAGCCGGUAGAUAUAGGCCCCAAGCAGUUUUACGCCCCAAGCAGUUUUACGCCCCUGUUGUUCCUCAUGCGUCCAGUAGGGGGAGGCUGUAUAUUAGUACAUGAGCCUAGUCAUCAAAACAGCAGACCAUAUCUGUAUGAUAGCGGCAGACAUUUUUUGAAGCGAUACGAAAUGAGCUUGCGUGACAUGGCUUCUUCUGGGGAAGAAAUAAUAUCCAUACAGAGAGGUUGCAACUUACCUGCGCUUAACAGAUGCACCUCCUGCUGUUCCCUAUUUCACUGUCCUUUCUGUAUUUCUGAUUUUUUCAAGCCCUCAAAGAAAAGUAAAGUACAAACUCAUCUUAAGCUUCACUUUUCUAGGGCAGUCGUCCAUGAAGGUAGCAUCAUUUUGUUGUAAAAAAAAAAAAACAACAACAACAAAAAACUAAACAUGCAAAAUGAUGCUUGGCUUAUUUGGGCAGUGAUAAAUCUCAAUUCUUUCUCUGGUAGUCCAUCAUCUGUGCUCUUGCUGUUGUGGAACAUGUGUCCAUCAUGGAGGCUGAGGAGAAAUUCCUGCGAGGACCUGUCAUUGACGCAAGUGAGCGGGAGCACUUUGACAGCAGGAUAAAAAAAAAACAAUUAAAGAAGAGUAGCAAGCCAUAGGAGAGUCUACAGGAGUCAUGCAGAAUCUACAGGAAGAAAUAAGUCAUGGUGUUAAUAAAUAUUUUUGUGAACAACAAUAUUGUCUCUUUCUUUUAAAUGACCCUUGGAAUUUUAGAAAAGGGUUACAUUGUGUUUGUCUUCAUAAAAUGCUAUGUAGGACAUGUUUUG